UAGAUCUAGACUGAAGCAAAUCCUGAUAUU
RNAcentral lists this non-coding RNA (30 nucleotides) under Mus musculus (house mouse). Lineage: Eukaryota; Metazoa; Chordata; Mammalia; Rodentia; Muridae. The record is from RNAcentral.